Molecule: long non-coding RNA, 385 nt
Organism: Sardina pilchardus (European sardine)
Lineage: Eukaryota; Metazoa; Chordata; Actinopteri; Clupeiformes; Clupeidae
Exons: 4
Source: RefSeq, a predicted model, not a curated record
AUCACACCUGGCGAAUGUAUGUCCUUGAGAGACUAAACCUUUAAGCAGCACAGGGCGGUAUUACACACUAACACCAGCGGCUGCUAUGCCUCCACCACCAGCGGACCAGACCUUGUCCCAACCCGGUACAACACCUUCUGUGACACAGAAGAAAAAGGAAAAAUUGCCCAUCAAGAAGACAAGAGCUAAGGAUGAGGUGACUGAGAUGAAAAAGAAGAAGGAAGAUGAUGGAGAUGAGAAGACAAAAGAUGCAUUGCUGGCUGGAGAGAAUUCUUCAGAAAAUGUACGUGCGUCGCUAGUCCAUGAACCACAGACGCCUACCAACUUGAAGAAGAAAGAAAGCAAAGAACCCAAUUUUUAUUAUCUUUCAAAUAUUAUGAAAAGC